RNAcentral lists this ribosomal RNA (253 nucleotides) under uncultured bacterium. RNAcentral describes it as "partial 16S ribosomal RNA". It matches the Rfam family "Bacterial small subunit ribosomal RNA", at positions 524 to 776 of the family's 1533-position model. The record is from RNAcentral.
UACGUAGGGUCCGAGCGUUGUCCGGAAUCAUUGGGCGUAAAGCGCAUGUAGGCGGCUCGGUCAGUCUGAUGUGAAAUCUUGGGGCUCAACCCCAAGCGGUCAUUGGAUACUGCCGGGCUUGAGUCCGGAAGAGGAGAGUGGAAUUCCUGGUGUAGCGGUGGAAUGCGCAGAUAUCAGGAGGAACACCAAUGGCGAAGGCAGCUCUCUGGUACGUGACUGACGCUGAGACGCGAAAGCGUGGGGAGCAAACAGG